UCCUAGUUAUCUCAUUUGGUAGAGCGCUCAACUGGAAAUGGAGAGGUGCCUGGUUCGAUACCAGUACCAGGCG
RNAcentral lists this transfer RNA (73 nucleotides) under Ixodes scapularis (black-legged tick). RNAcentral describes it as "tRNA-Ser for anticodon GGA". Lineage: Eukaryota; Metazoa; Arthropoda; Arachnida; Ixodida; Ixodidae. The record is from RNAcentral.